GGGAAUGUGGCUCAGUGGUAAAAGUACUUGCCUAGAAUGUGUGAGACUCUGAGUUCAGCCCCCAGCAUUGCCU
Molecule: transfer RNA, 73 nt
Filed under: Ictidomys tridecemlineatus (thirteen-lined ground squirrel)
Lineage: Eukaryota; Metazoa; Chordata; Mammalia; Rodentia; Sciuridae
Description: Spermophilus tridecemlineatus (thirteen-lined ground squirrel) tRNA
Rfam family: tRNA
About the family: Transfer RNA (tRNA) molecules are approximately 80 nucleotides in length.
Source: Rfam by way of RNAcentral